Molecule: ribosomal RNA, 409 nt
Filed under: uncultured bacterium
Lineage: Bacteria
Description: bacterial SSU rRNA
Rfam family: Bacterial small subunit ribosomal RNA
Source: RNAcentral
GAUGAACGCUGGCGGUAUGCCUAACACAUGCAAGUCGAACGGUGUCUUCGGACAUAGUGGCGGACGGGUGAGUAACGCGUGAGAAUCUACCUCUUGGUUGGGGACAACAGUUGGAAACGACUGCUAAUACCCAAUGUGCCGUAAGGUGAAAGAUUUAUUGCCAGGAGAAGAGCUCGCGUCUGAUUAGCUAGUUGGCGGGGUAAAGGCCCACCAAGGCGGCGAUCAGUAGCUGGUCUGAGAGGAUGAGCAGCCACACUGGGACUGAGACACGGCCCAGACUCCUACGGGAGGCAGCAGUGGGGAAUUUUCCGCAAUGGGCGAAAGCCUGACGGAGCAAUACCGCGUGAGGGAGGAAGGCUCUUGGGUUGUAAACCUCUUUUCUUAGGGAAGAACACAAUGACGGUACCUA